AUUUAUGUAGUUUAAUAUAAAACAUUACAUUUUCACUGUAAAGAUAUUAUAUAUAAUCAUAAAAA
This 65-nucleotide transfer RNA is filed under the name Pseudophoraspis kabakovi. Its description in RNAcentral is "tRNA-Glu". Lineage: Eukaryota; Metazoa; Arthropoda; Insecta; Blattodea; Blaberidae. The record is from RNAcentral.